ACGAAAAGGCUCGGGCAAAGGAUUGAUUUCAUGUUGGAAUUACCAAUAAGCCUGUAUCAUUAACAUUAUUGUUUUUCCCACUAUAAAUUGCAGGACAUUUUCUGUACGGUCCUUGGGGGAAAGCAAGGAGCAGGGGGAGGGGAGGGGACUUCUAAAAAUGUUUCCCACACUAAAGAACUAGAAGGACCGGACUCUCGGCGAGCGAUCCAGGAGAAAGUGAGAAUCAUCCUGAACUUCGGGAAAUCUGCGGCGGCUACUACUGCUACUGAAGCUAUUGCGGCUUCUGCUUUCAGAGCUGAAAGCAGAAUAAAUAACUGCUUCUUCCUUGAUUUUAGGUGUAAUGCUAAUACUUCCUGCCAUCCUUGGAACAUGUCAGUUGCUGGUCUAUUCCCACCAAGUAAUAAUGAUCACCCUUGAUUCCCAGGUCCGGGAACCUUGGGCAUUUGACAUCCAAGACCUUCUUUUUGCCUUCCCUGAGGUCGGCUGUCACCUUCCGGCCUCCCCCACCGCUGCCCCUGUCGCCUCCUGCUGCAGCUCAGCCUGUCUGCCAUUUCACUCAUUCGCUUAAACCCACGACCUCCCGGGUCAUAAGGAAGAGGAUUUACCAAAGAAGUGGGCACGCAGAAAUGGGGACCUCUUAAAGGAGCUAGCUGUGUUUAAGAAAAUUGAAAUGUGAAAUAUUCAGCUUGGCAAGGAUGCCCAUCACUUCUCUUUCUCCAGAGCUGUGUAAUUCUGGGAGCAUUUGGCUGUGGUGUGCUCAUACAUUUGCCCGGUGCAAAAUGACCAAGCACUUCAGCAUUCUGAAUGUCAAUGCCAGAAGUCUAUGACUGAGUUCACUAGCUUCCCUCAGUUUACAUGAAGGCAAGCCUUCCCUCCAACCAGAAAAGGUCCUCAGAGGAAAAGGAGAAAUGGGAGUUGAGAGCUUUCACCAAAGAAAGUAAAAUCUCUAGGGAGAGAAACGCACUAGACUGACUGGCUAGAAGUGCAUAGAUACAGCUUCUGAUCAGUUUAAAGGACUCUCUGGGGACCCUCACCUAGGCCGGAGGAUAGAGAGGCAGUCCAGAGGACCAAGCCCCUCCCAGCUAUCCAAACCUAAAGGUCUUUGACCUUCAGGAAGGAUGGUAGAGUUCACCAAGGACGUUUAAGAGCGCCUGGACAGGAGGAGGCUCUGCCUGAGAGGUUUCAUUUCACCUUCUCACUCUGGGGAACUUAAAAAAAAAUAAAAGAAGUUAAUAUUGCCCCUUGUACUAUUCUACUUAAUUCCUUUUAUCUCAUGCCCUGGGUGGGGGUGGACAUCUAUAUUUGGGUCCCGUUGCAGAAAGGGGGUUAAGAGAAGUGAUGGGCAAUUUUAUAGAAAAUGAAGGGACCAUGGAAUCAAACCCAAGUAAAAACAAGACCCACAUGUGAAGCUGCAGCCCUUGUUUCUGCUGAAAAAUUCUAAACCACAGUGGCGGACCAGGGGUUGGGGUGGGGGCUGUGAGAAUUGGGUGGGAUACGGAAAGCUAAAGAAAUUCAAAACUGAUUUCCCCCCAACUUUAGAGAUCUCUGUCCUGAAAGCCUUUCUAGAGGGCAGGGGGUGUGCGGAGUGAGGCAUGGCCAGGGCACACACCCCUCCUGGUUUUUCAAAUCCCUGGGGUCACGGUGGCUUCAGCGCAUGGGUCUUCAGCCUGGUCUUUCCAAGAGUUUCCGACAGGAGUGAAGCCAACAUAUUCUAACUGAAAAAAUAAACACAAACUCCUCUGUGCCCUUGGGCCAAAGCACUGUGAAAAAAUCAGGCAUCAUACUUGUGGAUGUUGUUUAAUAAAAGUACUCACAGAAUCAUCGCUUUUGUUUUCAAACCUGAAAACUGGAUUUCUUUUCUUUUUCUAUUUCUUUCUUUUAUCAUGUGCUUUCUGCCCUGAGUGUUAAUAAAAGAACUAACGUGCUAGUUCAAGUGUGUUUAACCUGAUGGAGCAAAUGCCAGCAGCCGCGGACCGCGCUCACCGCCUGCAGCGCCACUACCCCCUGAGCGCCAACCCUGGCGGGUUCCCACUCCCCCGUACCCGGACCCCGUCAGGUCCACCUGACCCAAGUCUCAGCCGUGAGACCAAACAGGUGGCUUUCUGUUCAGCGGCCCCUGAGGUUCCCGACACCCUUUGACGUCCCGUCUAAGCUGUUGCUGGCCCAAGAGAAAAGAGGCCUCCAACAAGUUGUUGGAGCUGCAGUCGCUGCCUGCAUCCGCACCGUCCGCCUUUCCCUCUCCUCCUGAAAUUCGUUUCCUUAAGGGGCAGUAGACUGGGUCCCACGUUUUCUUGCGUUUCCUCCCACGGAAACGGGCAUCCUGGAAACAGUGCGUCCUUGGAAAGUCGAUGAGUUUACGGGCUGUUUGGAUUUGCUUGUUUUAUUACUGUCGUGUGUUUUUUUUUUCUUUCGGAUUUU
This is a long non-coding RNA of Capra hircus (goat), 2418 nucleotides long. RefSeq lists it as uncharacterized. The record is from RefSeq and is a predicted model, not a curated record. Lineage: Eukaryota; Metazoa; Chordata; Mammalia; Artiodactyla; Bovidae. The transcript is spliced from 4 exons.